This 76-nucleotide transfer RNA is filed under the name Planctomycetota bacterium. Its description in RNAcentral is "Planctomycetes bacterium tRNA-Ala". It matches the Rfam family "tRNA". From Rfam's summary of the family: Transfer RNA (tRNA) molecules are approximately 80 nucleotides in length. Their secondary structure includes four short double-helical elements and three loops (D, anti-codon, and T loops). The record is from RNAcentral. Lineage: Bacteria; Pseudomonadati; Planctomycetota.
GGGGGCAUAGCUCAGCUGGUAGAGCGUCUGCAUGGCAUGCAGAAGGUCUGGGGUUCGACUCCCCAUGCCUCCACCA